GAUUAAGUUAUUAAGGGCGCACGGUGGAUGCCUUGGCACUAGAAGCCGAUGAAGGACGUUACUAACGACGAUAUGCUUUGGGGAGCUGUAAGUAAGCUUUGAUCCAGAGAUUUCCGAAUGGGGAAACCCAGCAUGAGUUAUGUCAUGUUAUCGAUAUGUGAAUACAUAGCAUAUCAGAAGGCACACCCGGAGAACUGAAACAUCUUAGUACCCGGAGGAAGAGAAAGAAAAUUCGAUUCCCUUAGUAGCGGCGAGCGAAACGGGAAGAGCCCAAACCAACAAGCUUGCUUGUUGGGGUUGUAGGACACUCUAUACGGAGUUACAAAGGACGACAUUAGACGAAUCAUCUGGAAAGAUGAAUCAAAGAAGGUAAUAAUCCUGUAGUCGAAAAUGUUGUCUCUCUUGAGUGGAUCCUGAGUACGACGGAGCACGUGAAAUUCCGUCGGAAUCUGGGAGGACCAUCUCCUAAGGCUAAAUACUCUCUAGUGACCGAUAGUGAACCAGUACCGUGAGGGAAAGGUGAAAAGCACCCCGGAAGGGGAGUGAAAUAGAACCUGAAACCGUGUGCUUACAAGUAGUCAGAGCCCGUUAAUGGGUGAUGGCGUGCCUUUUGUAGAAUGAACCGGCGAGUUACGAUUUGAUGCAAGGUUAAGCAGUAAAUGUGGAGCCGUAGCGAAAGCGAGUCUGAAUAGGGCGUUUAGUAUUUGGUCGUAGACCCGAAACCAGGUGAUCUACCCUUGGUCAGGUUGAAGUUCAGGUAACACUGAAUGGAGGACCGAACCGACUUACGUUGAAAAGUGAGCGGAUGAACUGAGGGUAGCGGAGAAAUUCCAAUCGAACCUGGAGAUAGCUGGUUCUCUCCGAAAUAGCUUUAGGGCUAGCCUCAAGUGAUGAUUAUUGGAGGUAGAGCACUGUUUGGACGAGGGGCCCCUCUCGGGUUACCGAAUUCAGACAAACUCCGAAUGCCAAUUAAUUUAACUUGGGAGUCAGAACAUGGGUGAUAAGGUCCGUGUUCGAAAGGGAAACAGCCCAGACCACCAGCUAAGGUCCCAAAAUAUAUGUUAAGUGGAAAAGGAUGUGGCGUUGCCCAGACAACUAGGAUGUUGGCUUAGAAGCAGCCAUCAUUUAAAGAGUGCGUAAUAGCUCACUAGUCGAGUGACACUGCGCCGAAAAUGUACCGGGGCUAAACAUAUUACCGAAGCUGUGGAUUGUCCUUUGGACAAUGGUAGGAGAGCGUUCUAAGGGCGUUGAAGCAUGAUCGUAAGGACAUGUGGAGCGCUUAGAAGUGAGAAUGCCGGUGUGAGUAGCGAAAGACGGGUGAGAAUCCCGUCCACCGAUUGACUAAGGUUUCCAGAGGAAGGCUCGUCCGCUCUGGGUUAGUCGGGUCCUAAGCUGAGGCCGACAGGCGUAGGCGAUGGAUAACAGGUUGAUAUUCCUGUACCACCUAUAAUCGUUUUAAUCGAUGGGGGGACGCAGUAGGAUAGGCGAAGCGUGCGAUUGGAUUGCACGUCUAAGCAGUAAGGCUGAGUAUUAGGCAAAUCCGGUACUCGUUAAGGCUGAGCUGUGAUGGGGAGAAGACAUUGUGUCUUCGAGUCGUUGAUUUCACACUGCCGAGAAAAGCCUCUAGAUAGAAAAUAGGUGCCCGUACCGCAAACCGACACAGGUAGUCAAGAUGAGAAUUCUAAGGUGAGCGAGCGAACUCUCGUUAAGGAACUCGGCAAAAUGACCCCGUAACUUCGGGAGAAGGGGUGCUCUUUAGGGUUAACGCCCAGAAGAGCCGCAGUGAAUAGGCCCAAGCGACUGUUUAUCAAAAACACAGGUCUCUGCUAAACCGUAAGGUGAUGUAUAGGGGCUGACGCCUGCCCGGUGCUGGAAGGUUAAGAGGAGUGGUUAGCUUCUGCGAAGCUACGAAUCGAAGCCCCAGUAAACGGCGGCCGUAACUAUAACGGUCCUAAGGUAGCGAAAUUCCUUGUCGGGUAAGUUCCGACCCGCACGAAAGGCGUAACGAUUUGGGCACUGUCUCAACGAGAGACUCGGUGAAAUCAUAGUACCUGUGAAGAUGCAGGUUACCCGCGACAGGACGGAAAGACCCCGUGGAGCUUUACUGUAGCCUGAUAUUGAAAUUCGGCACAGCUUGUACAGGAUAGGUAGGAGCCUUUGAAACGUGAGCGCUAGCUUACGUGGAGGCGCUGGUGGGAUACUACCCUAGCUGUGUUGGCUUUCUAACCCGCACCACUUAUCGUGGUGGGAGACAGUGUCAGGCGGGCAGUUUGACUGGGGCGGUCGCCUCCUAAAAGGUAACGGAGGCGCUCAAAGGUUCCCUCAGAAUGGUUGGAAAUCAUUCAUAGAGUGUAAAGGCAUAAGGGAGCUUGACUGCGAGACCUACAAGUCGAGCAGGGUCGAAAGACGGACUUAGUGAUCCGGUGGUUCCGCAUGGAAGGGCCAUCGCUCAACGGAUAAAAGCUACCCCGGGGAUAACAGGCUUAUCUCCCCCAAGAGUUCACAUCGACGGGGAGGUUUGGCACCUCGAUGUCGGCUCAUCGCAUCCUGGGGCUGUAGUCGGUCCCAAGGGUUGGGCUGUUCGCCCAUUAAAGCGGUACGCGAGCUGGGUUCAGAACGUCGUGAGACAGUUCGGUCCCUAUCCGUCGUGGGCGUAGGAAAUUUGAGAGGAGCUGUCCUUAGUACGAGAGGACCGGGAUGGACAUACCUCUGGUGUACCAGUUGUCGUGCCAACGGCAUAGCUGGGUAGCUAUGUGUGGACGGGAUAAGUGCUGAAAGCAUCUAAGCAUGAA
Molecule: ribosomal RNA, 2792 nt
Filed under: Staphylococcus aureus
Lineage: Bacteria; Bacillati; Bacillota; Bacilli; Caryophanales; Staphylococcaceae
Description: partial 23S ribosomal RNA
Rfam family: Bacterial large subunit ribosomal RNA
Source: RNAcentral